RNAcentral lists this ribosomal RNA (553 nucleotides) under Trigonopterus maculatus. RNAcentral describes it as "partial large subunit ribosomal RNA". The record is from RNAcentral. Lineage: Eukaryota; Metazoa; Arthropoda; Insecta; Coleoptera; Curculionidae.
AAAACAUGGCUUGUUGUUAAUGAUUUCAAGUYUGACCUGCCCACUGAGUAGUUGAAUGGCCGCGGUAUACUGACCGUGCAAAGGUAGCAUAAUCACUAGUUUUUUAAUUGAAAGCUUGAAUGAAAGGUUUGAUGAAAAAAAGACUGUCUCUGUAAAAAUUUAUUAGAAUUUUAUUUUUAAGUUAAAAAGCUUAAAUUUAUAUAGAAGACGAGAAGACCCUAUAGAGUUUUAUAAACGUUUUUAAAAUUAAAUUUAUAGCCAAGGAAGUUUGUUUUAAAAAUUUUUAUUUGGUUGGGGUGACAAAAAAAUUUAAUUAACUUUUUUUAGUACAUAAACAUUGAUUUUUGAGUAGUUGAUCCUAAGUUUUAGAUUAAAAGAUUAAAUUACCUUAGGGAUAACAGCGUAAUUUUUUUUAGAGCUCUUAUCAAAAAAAAAGAUUGCGACCUCGAUGUUGGAUUAAAAUAAAUUAUUGGUGUARAAGCUAAUAUAUUAGGUCUGUUCGACCUUUAAAAUUUUACAUGAUCUGAGUUUAAACCGGCGUGAGCCAGGUCGG